CCCUGGUAGUCCACGCCGUAAACGAUGUCGAUUUGGAGGUUGUGCCCUUGAGGCGUGGCUUCCGGAGCUAACGCGUUAAAUCGACCGCCUGGGGAGUACGGCCGCAAGGUUAAAACUCAAAUGAAUUGACGGGGGCCCGCACAAGCGGUGGAGCAUGUGGUUUAAUUCGAUGCAACGCGAAGAACCUUACCUGGUCUUGACAUCCACAGAACUU
RNAcentral lists this ribosomal RNA (214 nucleotides) under Klebsiella pneumoniae. Its description in RNAcentral is "partial 16S ribosomal RNA". It matches the Rfam family "Bacterial small subunit ribosomal RNA", at positions 785 to 998 of the family's 1533-position model. Lineage: Bacteria; Pseudomonadati; Pseudomonadota; Gammaproteobacteria; Enterobacterales; Enterobacteriaceae. The record is from RNAcentral.